GGGUUGUCGUGAAGAGAUGAACAGGAUGCC
RNAcentral lists this non-coding RNA (30 nucleotides) under Homo sapiens (human). The record is from RNAcentral. Lineage: Eukaryota; Metazoa; Chordata; Mammalia; Primates; Hominidae.